CCAUGCUAGAUGGGGAGGUAGCGGUGCCCUGAACCUGCAACCCGCUAUAGCAGGAUUGAAUCCCUGUCCCAGGCUUUUUUCUGUAAGGACAGCCCAUUGUAGGCGGUGAUGAGAUGCGGGUCUCACGCAACGAAAAAAUGUGAACCCCGUCAGGUCCGGAAGGAAGCAGCGGUAAGCAUUACUUUUCGUGUGCCGUGAGGAUGCCUGUGUUGAGCUAAAUAUAAUGGUAACGCUUGUGGAGAUAAGUCGAAGACAGGUGCAUGG
This 264-nucleotide signal recognition particle RNA is filed under the name Clostridiaceae bacterium. RNAcentral's name for it is "signal recognition particle sRNA large type". It matches the Rfam family "Bacterial large signal recognition particle RNA". Rfam says of the family: The signal recognition particle (SRP) is a universally conserved ribonucleoprotein involved in the co-translational targeting of proteins to membranes. Archaeal SRP consists of a 7S RNA and homologues of the eukaryotic SRP19 and SRP54 proteins. Lineage: Bacteria; Bacillati; Bacillota; Clostridia; Eubacteriales; Clostridiaceae. The record is from RNAcentral.